RNAcentral lists this ribosomal RNA (207 nucleotides) under uncultured bacterium. RNAcentral's name for it is "partial 16S ribosomal RNA". It matches the Rfam family "Bacterial small subunit ribosomal RNA", at positions 568 to 774 of the family's 1533-position model. The record is from RNAcentral.
CUUGUAGGCGGUUUGUCGCGUCUGCUGUGAAAAUCCGGGGCUCAACUCCGGACUUGCAGUGGGUACGGGCAGACUAGAGUGUGGUAGGGGAGACUGGAAUUCCUGGUGUAGCGGUGGAAUGCGCAGAUAUCAGGAGGAACACCGAUGGCGAAGGCAGGUCUCUGGGCCACUACUGACGCUGAGAAGCGAAAGCAUGGGGAGCGAACA